This 406-nucleotide ribosomal RNA is filed under the name uncultured bacterium. Its description in RNAcentral is "partial 16S ribosomal RNA". It matches the Rfam family "Bacterial small subunit ribosomal RNA", at positions 29 to 526 of the family's 1533-position model. The record is from RNAcentral.
AUUGAACGCUGGCGGCAGGCCUAACACAUGCAAGUCGAACGAGUGGCGGACGGGUGAGUAAUGUCUGGUAAACUGCCUGAUGGAGGGGGAUAACUACUGGAAACGGUAGCUAAUUCCGCAUACUCUCGGAUGUGCCCAGAUGGGAUUAGCUAGUAGGUGGGGUAAAGGCUCACCUGGGGGAGGAUACCUAGCUGGUCGGAGAGGAUGAACAGCCAAAUGGGAAUGGGGCAACGGUCCAGACUCCUAGGGGAGGAGGCAUUGGGGAACAUUGCACAUUGGGCGCAAGCCUGAUGCAGAAAUGCCGGGGGGAUGAAGAAGGCCUUCGGGUUGUAAAGUACUUUCAUCGGGGAGGCGUUACCCGAAGAAGAAGCACCGGCUAACUACGUGCCAGCAGCCGCGGUAAUUC